CCUACGGGAGGCGGCAGUGAGGAAUCUUGGACAAUGGGCGAAAGCUGAUCCAGCCAUGCCGCGUGAAUGAUGAAGGCCUUAGGGUUGUCAAAUUCUUUCAGCAGGGAAGAUAAUGACGGUACCUGCAAAAGAAGCCCCGGCUAACAGCGUGCCAGCAGCCGCGGUAAUACGGAGGGGGCUAGCGUUGUUCGGAAUUACUGGGCGUAAAGCGCUCGUAGGCGGAUUGGUCAGUCAGAGGUGAAAGCCCAGGGCUCAACCUUGGAAUUGCCAUUGAUACUGCCAGUCUUGAGUUCACGAGAGGUAAGCGGAAUUCCGAGUGUAGAGGUGGAAUUCGUAGAUAUUCGGAGGAACACCAGAGGCGAAGGCGGCUUACUGGACUGAUACUGACGCUGAGGAGCGAAAGCGUGCGGAGCAAACAGGAUUAGAUACCCUGGUAGUCCACGCCGUGAACGAUGAGAGCUAGUUGUCUGGCAGCAUGCUGUUAGGUGACGCAGCUAACGCAUUCAGCUCUGCGCCUGCGGAGUACGGCCGCAAG
RNAcentral lists this ribosomal RNA (535 nucleotides) under uncultured bacterium. Its description in RNAcentral is "bacterial SSU rRNA". It matches the Rfam family "Bacterial small subunit ribosomal RNA", at positions 338 to 892 of the family's 1533-position model. The record is from RNAcentral.